AUACGUAGGGAGCGAGCGUUGUCCGGAAUUACUGGGUGUAAAGGGAGCGUAGGCGGGACUGCAAGUCAGAUGUGAAAUACCGGGGCUUAACCCCGGAGCUGCAUUUGAAACUGUGGUUCUUGAGUGAAGUAGAGGCAAGCGGAAUUCCUGGUGUAGCGGUGAAAUGCGUAGAUAUCAGGAGGAACACCGGUGGCGAAGGCGGCUUGCUGGGCUUUUACUGACGCUGAGGCUCGAAAGCGUGGGUAGCAAACAGGAUUAGAUACCCUGGUAGUCCACGCUGUAAACGAUGAUUACUAGGUGUGGGGGGACUGACCCCUUCCGUGCCGCAGUUAACACAAUAAGUAAUCCACCUGGGGAGUACGGCCGCAAGGUUGAAACUUAAAGGAAUGGGCGGGG
RNAcentral lists this ribosomal RNA (396 nucleotides) under uncultured bacterium. RNAcentral describes it as "partial 16S ribosomal RNA". It matches the Rfam family "Bacterial small subunit ribosomal RNA", at positions 523 to 918 of the family's 1533-position model. The record is from RNAcentral.